GACGAACGCUGGCGGCGUGCCUAAUACAUGCAAGUAGAACGCUGAAGAGAGGAGCUUGCUCUUCUUGGAUGAGUUGCGAACGGGUGAGUAACGCGUAGGUAACCUGCCUUGUAGCGGGGGAUAACUAUUGGAAACGAUAGCUAAUACCGCAUAACAAUGGAUGACACAUGUCAUUUAUUUGAAAGGGGCAAUUGCUCCACUACAAGAUGGACCUGCGUUGUAUAGCUAGUAGGUGAGGUAAUGGCUCACCUAGGCGACGAUACAUAGCCGACCUGAGAGGGUGAUCGGCCACACUGGGACUGAGACACGGCCCAGACUCCUACGGGAGGCAGCAGUAGGGAAUCUUCGGCAAUGGGGGCAACCCUGACCGAGCAACGCCGCGUGAGUGAAGAAGGUUUUCGGAUCGUAAAGCUCUGUUGUAAGUCAAGAACGGGUGUGAGAGUGGAAAGUUCACACUGUGACGGUAGCUUACCAGAAAGGGACGGCUAACUACGUG
Molecule: ribosomal RNA, 496 nt
Filed under: uncultured bacterium
Lineage: Bacteria
Description: partial 16S ribosomal RNA
Rfam family: Bacterial small subunit ribosomal RNA
Source: RNAcentral